Rosa rugosa (rugosa rose) is the source of this 408-nucleotide long non-coding RNA. RefSeq lists it as uncharacterized. NCBI's taxonomy places the organism in Eukaryota, Viridiplantae, Streptophyta, Magnoliopsida, Rosales, Rosaceae. The transcript is spliced from 2 exons. The record is from RefSeq and is a predicted model, not a curated record.
CUCCACAAAGCCGCUCGGGCUCUUGACCUCUCUCUACUCUCCAGCCCAGACGAAAACUUAGAGUCCCAGACGAAAACUUUCCACAUUAGCUUGCUCUCUCACUCUCUUACUCUCUACUUCAUUCGAUUGAUUUCUUUGAUGAUGGAAGGGAAUUCAAACACUGUGACGCCUACUCCCACAAGCGUAGAGGCUGCAUCAAGCAUUGGGACUUCAGAUGAUGGAAUGAACAGGAGAAAUCCACUUGUUGCUUAUGUUCUUAACCUUUUUUUUUUUUAAUUUCUUUUCAACUCUGGAACUCUUGUCUUCUUGUUUGGAACUCCUGAAUUUUAAUUGGUUUGUAAACUUAAGUGAUUCGGAACUGUUUUGGAUUUGUAUUGCUUGGUUGCUUCACUUGCUUGCUUCUGGUUC